GGGUUUAUAUCGUCUAUAUCUGUAAUGGAGGGUGGGGCGUAACCAAUUAUGGUUGGAUUAGAUUCUGGGACAAGGCGGAAUAUUUCGCUUAAUAUGAAAUGGUGCUAGUAAUAUAGCGACAUUCAUAUCCUGGACGGUGGUGUGAUUUGAUUCGAACUUUCAAAUAACAGUAAAUUGUUUCCCUUUUCCAGAGGGCUUCCAACACUUCCCUGAACUAACGUUGCGUGCCACCAGACUUCUCCUUGAAUUACUCACAACAAAUAUGUAUCCUGCCAUUCACGGCCAUCUACUCCAAUCUUCCUACGUUGUGCUGGCAGUAGUAUCGCCACCAGCAUCCCUGAACAACGCUACAAGUCCGCUGUCAGACCAGCAAGGAAGCAAUCAGAUAACCUUGUACAUACAUCCACCUUGAGGUUGGCUACAUGUAUGUGGCGUACGGAUGGAUUGGCUUGUUUCCACCCUGCCAUGGACAGGCCUGAUGAGGAGGUACCUCCUACAUCUCCUCCUCCUCCUCCUCCUCGGCCAACGACUCCACGACCGGGACCAAAGCCAGCAACGCAGUCGUCAACCAAUGUAGGAAUCAGGAAGCGAAAGACCUUGAAACCCUCUCAACUUCCCGUUUCAAAAUUGACGGCUACACUUGAAACGGUGGUAGGGAAGCUGGCAUUCGUGGCGUCCAUCCAUCCACCUAUCGACACAUUCAACGUUUCAGAGUCCUGCAAUUCUCGACAGGACUUCCGCGAUCAACAGAAAAGAUGAUGGUUCCCACUACGCAAACCCUGCCUUGAAAUGAUGCUUUGUGACGGGUGAGCAACAGACGAUAAUUUUCAUCAAGGACUCCGUUAGAAGGCCACCCUCAACGACAUUUGCUAUUCCUCUUCCCUCCUCCAUCUCGUGAAAUAUCAAGUACAGAUCCAUUAUCUCUCUCCCCCACCGGAUGAGCAUUCCGUGCACGUUACCCAUGGAAAAGUGCCAUGAACAUUGAACACAGUCCAAUAACAACAUCAUGCUUGAGGGCUUCACACAUCUCUCAAGACCAUCAUCGGCAUCGUUGGUCUUCUUGCAACGGGUGCUUCCAUUGUGGCAAAAGUCGGUCCUCUGCGAUGCGAGUUUUCCAAGGAUUUCCGACACAUGUGAGAAGCCUCUUGGAGAGAAGGACAUAUUUUCCUCGUGCGUCUUAUUACCAAUGCCACAAUGGCACUGGAUGAUCUUGAACAGCACCAUGUUUCUUACCCGAGAAAUCAGAUUGGAGGCCUGACUAACAGGGAGGAAAUGCUGAGUGUGGCGACGCACCAGUGUUCGUCUACGAUACACUUGAGGGUUGCCGAUUCACCUUGAAGACAACAGCGUCGACCAACCAAGAGCAGUGUUUGGGUUGUCAGAUAAUGCACCUGUUAUGGUUUGUACUUGGGUACUUUUCCGAACGAGAAUUUCCAUUGCACCGUCGUUUCUGUUCGGAUCCAGGGUCAAUGGAAUACAGGAUCUGACGGUAAAGGCAAUUUGUGGACGGUUGCAUUCUCCCUCGUUUAUGAUCUGUUUUCGAAACAAAUUGACGGGGAUUGGAAUCAGCUUGCUCAUCCAACACAUUAAUCGUCUAAAAUAAGCACCAUGUGUACGACGAGGUGGGCUCAAAAACGAAAAAUGAUUGCUUAUCAUCCAUGGCGGGAGAAGAAUAUCAGUUAGUCAUGGAGAUGAUAUCGGUGGAAGCCUUGGGGGUUAGUUCUACUUCAAAAGGGCAUCACCGUCGGACUUCCCCUUCCCAUCAAAUUUAAUACAUUAAUAGUCUUCCAAUGGAAUGGCGAUAUCAUCAAGAUCACCUCUGGUUUCUUUCCAUGAAUCGCGAGAUGGUUGAUGUACAUCCUCAGUGUCGACACUCGUCCCGUCUCCAUCUUCCAUGGGAAGAGGCACAGGAAAUAUCAAAAUCUAGAUAGAGGAAGACUUGCUUCAAGAUUCCUCAUAACUGGCUCUGUUGCAAUACAUACAUGUAUGUACGUACGUAUACGCAAGCACCGGUAGUAGUUACUUCUACAAAUGAUCAGUAAAGUUCAAGUAAGCAGCCUCGAACAAAAAAGGCGGCUGAAUUUUAGUUUCCUGUUAUCUACUACAAUCUCGAAAAUAAAAGCGGCUUACGUUUAA
Molecule: long non-coding RNA, 2136 nt
Organism: Tigriopus californicus
Lineage: Eukaryota; Metazoa; Arthropoda; Copepoda; Harpacticoida; Harpacticidae
Exons: 3
Source: RefSeq, a predicted model, not a curated record